RNA transcript from Gorilla gorilla gorilla (western lowland gorilla), 3474 nucleotides. It is a transcript of the gene named chromosome 8 C10orf143 homolog, with no coding region annotated. NCBI's taxonomy places the organism in Eukaryota, Metazoa, Chordata, Mammalia, Primates, Hominidae. The transcript is spliced from 6 exons. The record is from RefSeq and is a predicted model, not a curated record.
CUCGGCCAGGCCUGAGAGGCCGGGAGGGUUUGACCCUGGGGCUGCAUGGACAGCUUAGCGCUCGGCCGCUGGCGACGGCGGAGGGCGGAGGAUCUGCAGGUUCCGGGGGACGUGCCUAGAGGCUCUGUACUCUGCACGUAACCACCAGCAAAGUUUUGGAAAACACAGCAGCCAGGACCCAUCUCUGUAGUGACUUUGCAGGUGAUUCUCAGGCAGGUCCAGAGUGAAGCACCUCUGCUGUGAUACACGUUUUGAGCGCCUGCUGUGUCUCAAGCCCUGUCCUAGGCACUGGAGAUGAGAUGAAGAAACGAUGAGUAGAGGCCUUGCUUACGUUUGUCCUGCAGCUCAUGAUGAGGCUUACUCUGCAACUCCAGUGCUCGGCUUUUUACACAACAGAGUCUCUGUUGCCCAGGCUGGAGUACAGUCACACGAUCUUGGCUUACUGCAACCUCUGCCUCUCAGGUUCGAGUGAUUCUUCUGCCUCAGCCUCCCAAGUUGCUGGGAUUACAGAUUUUAUAGCUCAUCUGCUGAGUAAGAUCUUUGCCGUGAGAACCUAGUAAAUAACCAGCUGAUGAUGCAGCCCCUGACAGAAGCCCUCAUUUUGCCUUCUGUGGUCACUCUUCUCCUUCUAAAUAAUUAUCACCCAUUCCUCAAGAAGCAAGGGACAUUUUAGCCAUACCAAGAAUCAUUAGAAGAUGCAAGCUGGAAAAAAGAAGGUCCCAGUUUUGGUUUUGAACCCUUCAUGUUGCAGCAAAUGUGAAUCUCCUACAGAUGGGUUUGGGGACUUACCUGUUCAAAUAGCAGCCCAGUGUCCUCUGUGGGUGGGGGGAGGUUUGUCUGUCCUUUCAUUCUAGUAAAUCCACCAUCCUCUGCACGAGAGGCAGGAGAAUCCACAUCACUUCAAAAGAGCCCCCAAAUCCUUACUACGUACUACAGCCUCCUUUCGAAUGUUCCUGGUUGAGAGGGAGAUCAGUUGCAUUAUUUACAAGUCAAAAAAUUUUUUAUCAAACUUCCUAUGAGCUUGGGCACUCAUGGCCUAUGGAGGCCCACCCAGACGCAGCCCCGCCAUGAUGCUUUUUCAUUGUUUUGUGGAUGUACCCAGGGCUAUUUACACACUCUUUCAUUAAAAGGCUUAUUUUUAUAUUUAAAAUGUUCUAAUCUUGGAGUGAAUUUUACUAAAUGCUAGUGUCCAAUCUGUUCCCCAACUGAAGUUAUCAGAGACAGAUCCCUUUUAUAUUCAAGUGGAAAUUACUCAUUUUCUCUUGGGUUUUCAAUGUAUCGUCUGACUGUGAGGCUGGCAUUAUUUUCUCUGGGUUUGAAAGCUUCCUGAGAUGUCCUGUUUGUAAGCUCCUGUCCGCAUCACGUUAUCUGCAGGGAAUGUGCUCCCUCCAGGGAGUGUCCUCGGCACUGAUGUGGGAAGAGCCCCCUCUAUAAGUCAUCAUGGCAUUCGGUCAUGGGAGAGUUCCAUACGGGAAAGAUGGAGCAGAGGAAGACAAGGUGUUGAAACCAGUACAGCACCACCUGGGAUACGGAUGAUCCAGAAUUAUAGGACACGUCUUCAUUAAGCCUGGGUAAGAUCCCAGAGCUAUGACUCGAUCAAAAAAUGCCAGUUCGUGCCAAACAACCAAAGCCGGGAGAGAGGGAGAAGGUAUUGGCAUUUGCGGCCUUACGAAAGAUUUUUAUGAAGAGCUUUAGUUUGUUCUUCUCUUUUCCAAAAUGAGAUACACAUCUAAUUUUUACGGGAAAAAAAGAAAACUCUUAGAUUGACAGCAUGUUCUUUUUUGUGUGUAAACUCCUCCUUCUCACCCUCGUUCAUGGAGAGAGCAGGUGUCCACGCGGUGUCAGGUGGGUGUUUUGUAGCUGACGUGGCACGCGUCCCUCCAGCUGUUCAUACGAAGCUGGCUUUUGUAGAGAACAGUCUCUGGGCAUCCUCCUGCCCCAAGGAAAAUGCCCCCGCUUCAGAGUCAGACAGACGUGAGUUCCCAUCUCAUCUCCACCGACCAUCUCCACCUGACCUUGAUGAGUCCUUAGACUUCUUGGAGCCUCCAGCUCCCAUCUGUGUGAUGGGGAGGUCGCCCUUGGGGUUUGCCCUUAGCCCACAGUGUGACUCCUCGGUGUCAGUGCCUUCCGUCCUGGUGCACAGCCCCUCCACCCCAAAGCAGGCCUUCUGUUCUGGAAAAGCAAAGCUCACAAAACAUGAUGACCCAGGUGACAAGGAUGAAAGGGAUGGGGUGUAACUGGCCAGAAUGUGGGUGUAUUAGGGUUCUCUAGAGGGACGGAAUAGGAUAGGUGUAUAUGUGAAGGGGAGCUUAUUAAGGAGUAUUGACUUGCACGAUCACAAGGUGAGGUCCCACAAUAGGCCGUCUGCAAGCUGAGGAGCAAGGAAGGCAGCCUGAGUCCCAAAACCUCAAAAGUAGAGAAGUCGACAGUGCAUCCUUCAGUCUGUGGCUGAAGGCCCAACAGCCCUUGCAAACCACUGGUGUAAGUCCAAGAGUCCAAAAGCUGAAGAACUUGGAGUUCGAUGUUCAAGGGCAGGAAGCAUCCAGCACGGGAGAAAGAGGAAGCCUGGAAGACUCAGCCAGUCUAGUCUUUCCACAUUCUCCUGCCUGCAUUAUUCUGGCCAAGCUGGCAGCUGAUUAGAUGGUAUCCACCCAGAUUGAGGGUGAGUCCGCCUCUCCCAGUCCACUGACUCAACUGUGAAUCUCCUUUGGCAACACCCUCACAGACACACCCAGGAUCAAUACUUGGCAUCCUUCAAUCAAGUUGACACUUGAUAUUAACCACCACAGUGGAGAACCAGCAGCUUUAUCCAGGUGCUGGAUUUUCCAGACUGUGAAGGGAAUGGAGGAGCUUGUGACUGGGUACCUAAAAAGGGGGAUGGCAACAUUUUCUUGGUGUUUUCAGCCAUUUUAGUACAGGCCACGAAAUAGAAGGCUCAGAAAUUCCAGAUUUUCCUAGGUGUGGUCCACACCUCAGUCCCAUCCUACUCUGGCCUCGUGUGGACAGAGGUCCUGCCCGUGGCCUUGUUGUCCCCUGGCAGCCGCCCUCCACCCACCCCCUGACUUGCUGUCACAGCUGCCCUGGCAUCCAUCCUGGCCUUCAGCCCCACCUCCCUGGCUCCAGAGUCAUCCCUGGCCACAGGACGGUCUCUGCUCUCCAGCCCAACCCGCCUCCUGCUGGGAUUACCUGGAGGAGCUCGCCCCGUGCAGAACUGUUUCUCCCUGGCAAAUUAAUUUGUCAGCACCACAGGUACUAAAACAGAUUAGCUAAUAGGCAAAACCUGCAUAGAUUUCACUAAACUGGGUCUUGAUGCACCCAUGACGAGCGUGAAAUGGGAUUAUCCCUUUAAAGUGCUUCAUCUUUGUAUUCUUGUCAAAAGAGGAGGAAAAAGACGUUUUCUUACACCCUGAGGAAACAGACUGGGCAUUGAUGUGUGUGUAUUUCCAUUAGAUAAAUUUUCAAUUUGUUCUUUAA